Molecule: ribosomal RNA, 576 nt
Filed under: uncultured bacterium
Lineage: Bacteria
Description: bacterial SSU rRNA
Rfam family: Bacterial small subunit ribosomal RNA
Source: RNAcentral
ACGGGUGAGUAAUACAUCGGAACGUAUCCUGGAGUGGGGGAUAGCCCGGCGAAAGCCGGAUUAAUACCGCAUACGCUCUGAGGAGGAAAGCGGGGGACCUUCGGGCCCCGCGCUCAAGGGGCGGCCGAUGGCGGAUUAGGAAGUUGGUGGGGUAAAGGCCUACCAAGCCGACGAUCCGUAGCUGGUCUGAGAGGACGACCAGCCACACUGGGACUGAGACACGGCCCAGACUCCUACGGGAGGCAGCAGUGGGGAAUUUUGGACAAUGGGGGCAACCCUGAUCCAGCAAUGCCGCGUGUGUGAAGAAGGCCUUCGGGUUGUAAAGCACUUUUGUCCGGAAAGAAAUCAUCGGGGCCAAUACCCCUGGUGGAUGACGGUACCGGAAGAAUAAGCACCGGCUAACUACGUGCCAGCAGCCGCGGUAAUACGUAGGGUGCGAGCGUUAAUCGGAAUUACUGGGCGUAAAGCGUGCGCAGGCGGUGCUGUAAGACCGAUGUGAAAUCCCCGGGCUUAACCUGGGAACUGCAUUGGUGACUGCAGCGCUGGAGUAUGGCAGAGGGGGGUGGAAUUCCACGU